GGAUUGCAGGCUGCAACUCGCCUGCAUGAAGUCGGAAUUGCUAGUAAUCGCGGAUCAGCAUGCCGCGGUGAAUACGUUCCCGGGCCUUGUACACACCGCCCGUCACACCAUGAGAGCCGGUAACACCCGAAGUCAGAAGCCUAACCGCAAGGAGGGCGCUGCCGAAGGUGGGAUUGGUAAUUGGGGUGAAGUCGUAACAAGGUACC
This 206-nucleotide ribosomal RNA is filed under the name uncultured bacterium. Its description in RNAcentral is "partial 16S ribosomal RNA". It matches the Rfam family "Bacterial small subunit ribosomal RNA", at positions 1295 to 1500 of the family's 1533-position model. The record is from RNAcentral.